CCUACGGGAGGCAGCAGUGGGGAAUUUUGCGCAAUGCUCGGAAGAGUGAAGCAGCGACGCCGCGUGAAUGACGAAGGCCUUCGGCUUGUAAAGUUCUUUUGACAGGGAAGAAAAUGCCCAUAAGUAACUGUUUCUGUAUUGACGGUACCUGAAUACGCAGCCCCGGCUAACUCCGUGCCAGCAGCCGCGGGAAUACGGAGGGGGCGAGCGUUGUGCGGAGUGAUUGGGCGUAAAGAGCUCGUGGGCGGUGUUGUAAGUCAUGAGUGAAAGACUAGGGCGCAACUCUAGUCGGGCUAGGGAUACUAGAAGACUAGAGUAAGAGAGAGGAAUGCGGAAUUCCUGGUGUAGCGGUGAAAUGCGUAGAUAUCGGGAAGAAUACCAAGAGCGAAGGCAGCGAUCUGGGUGGAAACUGACGCUGAGGUACGAAAGCGUGGGGAGCAAACAGGAUUAGAUACCCGAGUAGUC
This 465-nucleotide ribosomal RNA is filed under the name uncultured bacterium. RNAcentral's name for it is "partial 16S ribosomal RNA". It matches the Rfam family "Bacterial small subunit ribosomal RNA", at positions 338 to 795 of the family's 1533-position model. The record is from RNAcentral.